AAUUUCUUUUUAUUCAGUAUUUUCAAUUUUAUAUGAAACCGUCGGUGUAGACACGCAGGUCCAGCAUUGGUACAUUUCAAUGAAUACUUUGAAAUGUAGUGGGCUCAAAGAGCAACAGUGGUGGCGUGCAAGUCACCAAGUAACAAUAAAUAACAUUUCCCGGUUGGACUCGCAGGUCCUAUAGCGUGUAAGUUUGAAUAGGCCAUUCCCCUUAGUUUUUAGUUGCUAUAGCCUUUCUGGGUCUCCAAUUGUGGCAGGGGUGGUUCGUAUCCUGCUUUAUUACUAUUAGC
Molecule: non-coding RNA, 290 nt
Organism: Pelobates cultripes (western spadefoot toad)
Lineage: Eukaryota; Metazoa; Chordata; Amphibia; Anura; Pelobatidae
Source: the annotation of a GenBank genome assembly